Poecilia latipinna (sailfin molly) is the source of this 434-nucleotide long non-coding RNA. RefSeq lists it as uncharacterized. The transcript is spliced from 3 exons. NCBI's taxonomy places the organism in Eukaryota, Metazoa, Chordata, Actinopteri, Cyprinodontiformes, Poeciliidae. The record is from RefSeq and is a predicted model, not a curated record.
GACAUGCUCCGCUCUGCCACCAGGAGGAACAGAGUCUGGGUCCCGUCCAGAGCGAUCUUAUUCCUGAGGGAAAAGAGACAGAAAGGUCAGCGGGCGUCAUCUCCAUGGAUUUCUCAAAAGGAGCCAUGUUUGCUCGUCGUUUGGGACGGUUUUGGAAAGUCCAAUGGUUGGAAGUAAGCGAACUUCAGCGAGCUGCAGAGACCGCCGAGGUUUUAUAACCACAGAGCAGGGAGGAGUCCAAAGACGAGGUCCUUGUCCUGGCACACAAGAAGAAGAGCAUAAUUAAGGCAGCCCGAUCAGAUGACUGAAGAAACUUCCUGAACAACCAGAAAAACCUCCCGAGGCCAUCCUGAAGCUGAGAACUCUCGACCUUUUAACCUCUGCAAGUCCAUUUUUAAAAUGAUGUGCAUGUAAAAAUCUGAAAGUGUAGCAUC